CAAAAUUCAGAGGCGUUCAGGAGUGCAGAUUUUAAAGAAUGGCUGUGCUUCACUGGGCAAAUAUUCAAGAACACUACAGAGGCAGCUAAGUAGAUCCUCCUCACUGCUUUCACUGCCAUAAGAUUUUCCAAACACUAGGUAAUUCUGGAUUUCCUGAGAAGAAGUAUGGCACAAAAGCUGUAUACAGUGAAGGAUGUCUGGGCAUGGAGGAAUUAAUGGACACACCAGGCGUAGACAAUCCACAUUUAACCAAGAUUUUCCAGGCUGCAUCAAUGCAUGAAGGGACGUUAUGAGAACACAUUGCCUUAGCUUCACAUAGGAAUGCCAUUACAGAAUUAAGAUUUAAG
RNAcentral lists this long non-coding RNA (347 nucleotides) under Podarcis muralis (Common wall lizard). RNAcentral describes it as "lncRNA (ENSPMRG00000019534.1)". The record is from RNAcentral. Lineage: Eukaryota; Metazoa; Chordata; Lepidosauria; Squamata; Lacertidae.